Long non-coding RNA from Cuculus canorus (common cuckoo), 2558 nucleotides. RefSeq lists it as uncharacterized. NCBI's taxonomy places the organism in Eukaryota, Metazoa, Chordata, Aves, Cuculiformes, Cuculidae. The record is from RefSeq and is a predicted model, not a curated record. The transcript is spliced from 3 exons.
UCUAAGCAGCAGUAUCCCUACUGGAAAGUGAGGAAAUAUUAUGGGCAAAUAUGAGCAGUGCUUGUCCAACUUUUCUAUAGAUGUUUCCAUAGAUGUUUCAGACCCUAGCUGUUCUGCUUACUGCAUUUCUAAGCCCUUCCAGAAGACUGUGUUGAGAUCUCCAGCUUCUCCUCUUCUGGGAGGACUCCCUGUCUCCUUUGCCUUAAGAGCAGAUCUAUGCCCUCAUCUUUGCAAAAUAGCAAGCAUAGCCCAGACAGGAGCUGGGAGAAGGUUAACCUGCUAUGGAAGAGUGGACCUGUUCCCGCCCUGAAGAGGCUUGAUUAAUUAUCUGGACAAAGCAGCUCUUACCUGAGUAUAAGAGACAACUGUCCUAGGGCCUUGCUAUCACUUCUAAGACUAAAAGAAACAUCAGCCACAUAGAGCAUGGCACCAAGAGGAAGAAGGCAAAGUGGCCAUCAAGAGAGGAAAUGCUGUAUGUUGGAUUAUGCAACAGCCCAGUAUGCACCAUCAGUCUUGUUUAGAUCCUUCAUCAAUGGUGGAAACAGCUGAUGAUUUAUUGUGAUAGACAAGUCACAACAUUAUUAGCUCUGACUAGCUAACAGGGUGAAUAGUGGUACUCAGGAAAAACAGCUACUGUAUAAAAGAGCAAUCUGAUAUUCUGAAUGUAUGUGCACAGCUAAUCAUGUGGAGGGGAUCCUCUGGUGACACAUGCAACACUUACUGGGAAUGAGCAGAGGUUUAAUAAGUUGUAGCCAAAACUAUACUUCAGAUAUCACAGCUAGGAAGCUGCUAUGGAAAUGCGAAGCAUGUGUGAGGGGGAGUUUGUGUAAGUUCCUGAAAUAAUUUCAAUUAAAUAAUUACUAUAAACAGAAGUUGUAUUGAUUAAGUUCUUAAUGGAAAAAUGGUAUAUUCACACAAAACUACUUUUCCAAGACAAUAUGCAACCUUUUCCAAGACAACAUCCCUCACUUCCGACUAUCUUCAAUAUCAUAAUUUAUUUUAAAGGCUAUAUAUGUAAUGGAAUAAUUACAUGUCUGCAAAUGCAUGCUGAUAGUGACUCUGUAGCUUUGAAACAUCUUUUCAUACUUCUUCUGUUUUGUACUAUACAAAGGCCCCUUUUUCUUUGUUCAAAUAAUUGAUUUAUAACCACAUAAAAUAGAAAUAGCUGGCAAAAGCUCACUUUUAAUUAUACUGAUGAGCAUUCUCCAAAUCUCCUCCAGUUCUUCAUAUAAUAAUUAUAGUUUGUCAUCCUAAUACCAAUGAGUACGUGGUCCUUCUAAAGAGAUCCAGAACUAGCACUCUGCCUGAACGCUCUCCUAGCAGAGUAAAUGUCUUUUUUCUUCUCUCCUAUUUUGGGCUAAUAUGAAUGAACACUAUAAAAAGCUAAGGCUUGUGUUAGUGGAAGUGGCAACCCUUUUCACAGUUAUUAGAACUGUGAUAUAUAAAUGGAAUUUAUGCCUCUUCCUCAGUGAAAAUAAAUUAUUUUGGGGUUUUUGAAUAAUCGUCAGAAUUGGACUCAGUAAAAGGAUUUUUGUUUUGACUGAGACUUAGCUCUGUUUUUAAUCAGGCUUAGACUUCUUAUUGGCUUCCCAUUCAUGUGGCUCAUAUUUAACUCCUUAGUACAGGAAGAAAGCUCUGGAAUUUUCCAGAGGCUAAAAUGAAACCGUCCCUUAACACUGGAGAAUGACACAAAGCUAUAUGAAGUAGUGCUGUUCAAUAAUUCAGAAUCCCAUAAACAUGCAAAUUAGCUGCAUACACAGAAAUGGCUCACCACUGAGCUCUUUGCGCACCUCAGCAACACUGUCUUCUGCAUGUAGAUUUGCCCCUCCAUAGAAAUGCAUGGCUAGAUAUGCUGCUGCUAUCACUCCAGUUCUGUGCCCUUGCAGGCAGCACUGUCUUCAGUGCUAGAUACCAGAAUAACAUGGCAGUGAAUUGCACCAGCCACUAAAGACAAGCUUAAAAUCUUAUUACUACCACAUCAGGCUGAUGCACUAAAUUUAAGCAGAGGUUUUGUUUUGUAUAUUCACCAAAGAUUAUCAAGAUUGUUUCAGGAUGUAAGUCCUGCUGCCUAAUACAGAACUACUCAGACUCUACCCUAUGCUGAGGUUUGACACAAAACAGUGUAACAAGAGGAGUGCACUUGAACAUAGUGAGAUAGACCAUAGACUGGCUUGGCUUGGCUUCCAGAAGGCUGCUUCAGGCCCAUGGUUUGGGGCUUUGCCUAUGGAAACUCAGUCACUACCAGAUCUGCAGGUAUCUGGCAUGAAUGACACCUAUGAUUGGAAGUGGAAUGGCUUCCUAGAUGGAAAGGACAACAAAGAGAACUAGAAAUGCAGAACCUGACACAGGCUACUUGGUGGCAUACACAAGAAUAAAUUUUGCCCUUCUUUGAUGUGUCAGAGCUUAGCUGCUUCUCCUGUGGCAGGGGAAGAGCAGAAGAAAAGGACAGGACCACUUGGAGAGCUGACUCUAAUGCCUCGGGUGUCAGAUAGGAAUAGACACCAUUGUUUCAGGGGAAAUUGGAUUUCCCCAUUUCAUUUCCAAACACACACAUGUGC